GAAAUACGCCUAAGAGUUCGAGCAAAAUCCAUGCUCCAAAGGUCCGAUACUGACCUUGUUGGAGGAGAGUUGAGCAGAGAGUAACAUCCGAGUAACUUCUCUAUGAAACGAUGUUUUUGGUGAGUUGCAUGUGUUUAGGUUACUGGUAUUUUUAUCCGGGAUUCACGUGGCGGAACGGCAAUAA
Long non-coding RNA from Neodiprion virginianus, 184 nucleotides. RefSeq lists it as uncharacterized. The record is from RefSeq and is a predicted model, not a curated record. Lineage: Eukaryota; Metazoa; Arthropoda; Insecta; Hymenoptera; Diprionidae. The transcript is spliced from 2 exons.